Hypomesus transpacificus is the source of this 1291-nucleotide long non-coding RNA. RefSeq lists it as uncharacterized. NCBI's taxonomy places the organism in Eukaryota, Metazoa, Chordata, Actinopteri, Osmeriformes, Osmeridae. The record is from RefSeq and is a predicted model, not a curated record. The transcript has 5 exons.
ACACAAAUCAGAACAUCACACACAAAUCAGAACCGUUUGCCUAAUUAGAACAUGACAGUUGUCUACGUAAGGCGGAAGUAAGCCGAAAGACGGAUAGUGGAUGACAGUUUUUAACUCGCUCCUAUAUGAAAUAUUGCCUACAUAAUCGAUUAUGAGUUUAUUCAAGAUUUAAAAGUAGUCCACCUGUCUCAGUCUCCUCUCUAAAACAGACUGAUUUACAUGUAUCUCAGACAUGAGGACUAUGUAUCACUGGCCUCCUCCCUCCAGUCACCAGACUGUCCUCUGAGAGAGCUGCACCUGGACGGGAUUGGAGUGCCUGGUUAUGAUGAAGAUGAAGAUGGUGACCUGAGUGUUGUCUAUGCUGCCCUUCGAGGUUCACAGUGUAAACUGGAGACACUGAGGUUGAACAGGCGUUACCUGACGGAGGAAAGUUGUAGAGUUGUCUUCAGCUCUCAGCUCAAAUUGUUACCUGAGAGAGUUGGACCUGAGUCACAACAACCUGCAGGAUUCAGGAGUGAAGCUGCUCUCUGAUGGACUGAAGAGUCCACAAUGUAGACUGGAGAUCCUGAGGCUGUCGUUCUGUGGAGUCACAGAGGAAGGCUGUGCUUCUCUGGCUUCAGCUCUCAGCUCAAACUGCCGUCUGAGAGAGUUGGACCUGAGCUACAAUCACCCAGGAGACACAGUUCUCUCUGGUAGACUGGAGAAACUCAAUGUGGACCAUAAUGAAGAGAUCUGGGUGAAACCACAGCUGCUUAAAAAGUGCAAGUGUUGUUUUGUACAUCAGUACAUCCAACAUUGAGAUUGAUAUUGUGUUAGGGUUAGAGUUGGUCCUCACAAGCAUAGACAAGCUGACAUCGCAAGCAUACAUUCUGACAGAUUCUACCACUGACACACAGAGAAACUCACUCUCUCCACUCACACACACACGCAAACAAUGGCAGUCAAACUCUGACUGUUCCUCAUCAGUAAUACAUACAGUACAUACUGACACAUUGAAACACUGACACACAUACAAACCCACUCACACACACAUUCACUCUCUCUCUCUCUCUUACUCUCACAGGCACCGAUGCAGUUAAACGUCAAAAAAUAUAUUACAUACAUUUACGUAAAUAUACAUAAAAUACAUUAAGCGUUACUCAUCAGUUAUGCUUCCACUCUUACUGGGUUAAAUCCCAGAAUCCUCUGACUGAAAAUCACUCAUGACCAUCUGACAGGAACAACCUCUCACUCACUGACCAGAUGGAAAUGUAAACAUCCAGACACACAGUUCUGAUCCAGCCUCUCUCCU